UCCUCGAUAGUCUAGUGGUGAGGAUAUCGGCUUGUCAUUCACACGAUUCGCCGGGGACCGGGGUUCAAUUCCCCGUCGAGGAG
Transfer RNA from Colletotrichum gloeosporioides Cg-14, 83 nucleotides. It matches the Rfam family "tRNA". From Rfam's summary of the family: Transfer RNA (tRNA) molecules are approximately 80 nucleotides in length. The record is from Rfam. NCBI's taxonomy places the organism in Eukaryota, Fungi, Ascomycota, Sordariomycetes, Glomerellales, Glomerellaceae.